AUUAAGCUACAAUAUUAAUCGUUAUAAAUUGAAAAAAAACUAAUAUCAAAUAAAUUAUUUGUAAUUGUGUUAAAAAACAAGUAUUGAAUAAUUAAAAAAACAAGUUACUGAAAAAUCGAUAAACAAAAGCAGUUUUCUACCGGAAAUGAAGGAAGGAAUGAAAGAGGCGAUAGAGAGGAGAGCACGGAAAAUGUUUUACGGAAAUUGAAAGAGUAAGACAUUUUCCCUAAAAUGUAACCCAUUUUCCCUUAUUUUGGAGUUCAUUUUCCAAAUGGAAAAUAUUUUCCACCAAUCAAACGCUGGAAAAGUUGGAAAUAAUUUUCCGGAAAAUCAAUUCCAUCAAUCAAACAGACCCUAAAGUUUACCCAAUUACCCAAUCCAAUAAAAUUAAAACUAAAAGACAACUCAAUUUACUAAAGUCUAAAACCCAAUUUACUUUAAUAAUUUAUAAAUUUUUUAAAUUUUAAAAAUAAAAAAUAAAAAAAAUUCGGGUAAUUCGGGCAUUUUUCGGUAAUUCAGUUAAUUCGGUUAAUUCGGUUAAUUCGGGUAAUUCGGAUAAUUUUUAACCAAAAAUAAAAAAUACAUAAUUUUCAGUUAAUUCGGUUAACCAACCUUAUUAACCGAAAAAAUUUCGGUUCGGUUAAUUUGUUUUAAAAAAAAUCGGUUCGGUUAACGGUUAAAAUUUUUGGAAGGUCGGUUAAUUCGAUUAUAGUAAUUUCGGAUCGAUUAACCGGUCGGUUAACCAAAUGAACACCCCUAACCGCAACAACACUCAUGCACGUCAUAACACCUUGCUCUCAAAAUAAAAAUUCUGGGUUAGUAAUACAGUGCCUGUUGCGACAACAUCAACCUGUUGCAAGCAUUGGUCUCGAAAUAAUUUUUUUGCCAAGAAUGUAUUCAGAGUCACGACACCAUUCCUUUCGCAUCACAACACCUGAACGGUUUGGACAAAAUUAAUUAACACAUAAAUUACCCACCAACCUCCGCCUCCAUUAACACAUUUGACCACAGCCCAGUCAUUCAAAACUAGCCUUUCUCUCAGUUUAACUUAACUUAUUUUUCUACAAGCUUUCUCAAGGACUUCAUAAGGAGCAUCAAGAUUUUCCAGGUUUUCUUGGAUUUGUUGGGUAAGAAUGUCUUUAGUUUUUGGUUUUAUUGUGGUAGUUCUCUUUUUGUUUUUAUAGGUUUAGAGAACCAAAACCUUGAUUUUGUGAUUUUCAUUGUUGAAAUAUUAUGGGCUGGUCAAGACUUGGAAUGAAAAUCCUAGAAAUCUCGUCUGACUUUUAACAAUUUAAGGCUGAAGUGUGAUGAUUUUUACCGAUGGUCUAACCUUAAGUUUCUGCAACAUAAAAUACAGGUAACUGAUUUUCUUCUCCUCACCGGAUUUCUCACUACUAAUCAAGUGGCCAACGCACACAGGUGUUGGAAACUUUAAUGUUUUGUUUAGUUUCUGAAAAUAUUUCUUAUUUUUGUUUUCUAUUUUCAUUUUUAAAAGAUAAUUUUCAUUUUCUAUAUUUUGAAAGUUGAAGAACACAUUUGAUAAAUAAUAAUAAAAAUUUGUUCUCAAUAAUGAACAAAUAAAAACACAUUUGGUACCUAUUUUCCAAUAAUAGAAACAUAAGACAUAAAAUAAAAGCAUUCGAAUCAGGGUAAUAUAUUUGAUAUUUAAAAACUAUUAGCAAAAAAUAUUUUUACAUUUAUAUGAGUUUGAUCUAGGAUCAACUCAUUUAAAUUUAAAAAUUCUUGUUUUCAACAAUUUCAAUUUGACUUUUACAAAGCAUUUUUAGUAAAAGUAAUGAACACAACUUUUUAUUAUUUUCUAAUUUUCAACUACUUUUAUUUUUAUUUUUUAAUAAUCAUUUUUAAAAUUUUCAACAAAACAAGCUUUCUUUAAUAUUUUUCAUUUUCCAAGAAAACAAAAAUGAUCUCUAUUCCUUGUAACCAAAUGGAGCCUAAAGUUACCAAAAUAUUCUCAAAAACUAAGCAAAAACCAGAACUCAAAAAAAAAAAAAACUCUAUUUUUGUUGUGAUUCUAGUUCUGACCUCUUUGUCUUCUAUGUGUCCCAAGUACCAAGUAACCGAGACUCACCUACCUAUUUAUUGCAAAAUUCCUAGAAUCCUAAAUUAAGUUAACCUGGAAUUUUGAUUCUAGCUUAUUUAUCCCAACUUUUUAAUUCUAGCCUAAUCUAAAUAAAAUUCAAACCAAGCUACAUUAUCUAAAAAAAAAAUUCGUUCUUUUUAUAUGUUUUUUUCUUUUUUUUUAUGACUUCUAAAAAACUAAAUUAAAAAUAAGCUAAAAAUAAAUAAGCUCAAACUAAAACAGCGAAUGCAAAAGUCAUUUUGUUAGCCAAGGGGACAGCAGAAAGAGGCAAGGACAGAUACUCUCCUAUCUUCUAAGUUUAGACAACAAGCUAUUAUGUCUCCACAAAAUGUGCUACCUUUGGAGAACAUUAAACAAGAGAUUUCUUCCCAUGUUAGACUAUCUAUUGAGUUUGCAAACCAUGAUUUCUUGGAAAACUCAAUAUUUUCUCAAGAAGUCAGGAGAAUUACCAGACCGUAGACAAGUAUAAGCUUCAGCAAUCUGCAAAAAAUGCACAUCUUUAGGUUUUAUUUGUCACAACCGUAAAUGCAGUUGGAACUAUUUUUAAACUGCAGAAUACAGGAUUAAAGAUAUCCACACAAUUAUCGCAUUCAGUGCUCCCAGAUGAAAGAAAUAUUUCAUAUUCAGAUACAAUAAAUGAAAUAAACUAAUUGGAAAAACUUAAUAUUAAUACUGCAUCGGUUACUCGUUUUCCAGUAUGUUGGCUCUUGUCAAGAAUGGCAACCUCCAGAAAACGUACCAUAAUUUAGAAAGUAUAUGGCUCAAAAGGCCAGUCUAGAAUGAUAAGUUUCUGUGAAGGUUAGGUAAAUUAUUCCAAAUAAAAACUACCGUUUGUUAAGACUAAACCUAGUCUUUACCAGGUAAAUUUCAGUUUAUCUCCCAAAUCCAAGGUUAGACUUAACAUGUUCAGCAGUUAGAAAUCCAAAAAACUCGUGAAAGAAUAUAAACGUACUGCCAGAUCUGAUUACUCACCAGAACAUACUAUUCUAAAUCGCUGCUUGCACCAUGAACUUAACCAAAACAUGAUACAAACCCCCAAGCAAUCUAGCUCCCUCCAAAGAAUUCAAAUAGCAAAAAGAAUCAAGAAAGACUCCCCAAGUAUAUUUUAGAUAGAGUGGAAUUACUAACAGUCACAAAACUGCUCUAAGCUAAUAUCUCUCAAACCUAACAUUGUAAAAAUGCUUAGCUUGUUCAAAUCAACCUCUAAAAUGCUUAAGCUUGUCUCAACAAGCUUCAACAGUUCCUUUUCAGAUCCCUAAUGAUCGCAUCACUAGUAAGCCAGUACCCAUAUAACAACAAUUCAAACCUGGCCCCGACGAAGAUGUGCAUUCCAAUCAAAGAAUAUAUUAGAAAACGGGUGAAAGUUUUAAAGGCACAUCGAUGCUUACCAACUUAAACUUAGACUCCGCCGAAUGCUUUUCGUGAACUGGAAACAAGUCAGGAUGCGAUUCCCAUACUUUCUUUCUAUAAGCUGCUUUAAUCUAAAAUUCCAAAUAAAAAACCAUAAAAGAAAUUAAUAAAAUAUACAACUUCAUAAACAAAGAAGAAAAAAUCGAGAAAUUUUGUUAGUCUAACUGAUUUGAAGAAAGCAAUCAAGGCCACAAUCUCCAAAAGGAAAACAACUCGAUUUAUCAAUUUCAAUCCAAGUCAACAACCAAAAACAAUGAGAUUUAAAAAACCCCUAAAACAAUCAAAGUUAAGAGCAAAAUAAAAUAAAAUAAAAAUGAAAAACUGAAUGAAAUUUGAAAAAGAAAGAAAAAACCUGAGAAGGAGAAGGGCGAGAAUUAGGGGGGAAGCCUAGCAGGAGUCUCGCUUCAUCACCUUGCAUUUCUGUGAUUUAAUUGGGCUGAGCUUUUCUUUGCUGGGCACUUAAUUUUUUAAUUAAGUGAAGCGUGGGCUUAAUGCUAGUGCGUGUCAACAGGAAACUAAUAGAGCGUGGCAAAGCGAAAUCUACACGAGCGCGGCAUUCGUAAGUGUUUUAUUUAAACAAACUUUUUAUCCCGUCCCAUGCAAGAUUAUUUAUAUGUUUUAAAAAAUUGUUAAAUAUAUUUUAAAAAAAUACAUCUUAAAAUUAUUUGUCAAAUUAUUAACUAUUAUUUUAUCUAUAAUGAAAAAUAAUAUAGAUAUUAUUUAUAUUAUAAAUGUAUAUCAAAUAAUAAAAAGAAAUCAAUUAAAAAAGUAUUAUGCAAAUAAAUAAAUUUGUAAGUUUUAAUAAAAGAAAGUAAAAGGCUAAAUUACGUAAAAAUAUCGAUUUAAAAAAAAUAAUUGAGUGAUUAGACCGAUUUCUGGUAUACUUAUCGGAAUAGGUCAAUUUUAGAGAGAGUGUGAGUGAAAACGCGUCCAGUUGGGCGUGCUUUCCUGCACAAUCAGCAGAAAACGCGUCUAGCUGGACAUUUUUUCACCUAACGGUAACCUCCACCAACAGCCAUAAAAAACAACUAGUUUUAUUUCUAUAUAAACUCGGAUCCUUUCCUCAUCUUUUCAUUCAAAUCCAAUUAUCUCAAUUCUCUUAAGAAUUUAGUUUUAGAAUUUUAAUUAAAAUUCUCUCAAGUUCGUCUUGAUUUAAUUUCGUUUUUCGAUUUUUAUUCAUUUUAAUUCAAUUUUGGAAUGGCAAAUACUCUUAUUCGUUUCGAUGACAACCACGUUUCCGCAUUUUAAUUGCAAAUGGGAAGACAAUAUUUCUAAUAUUUCUAAUUUUAAGUUUAUUAUUAAGUUGCUAAAAAGAUUAAAAUUUAUUUGUUCUUUUUGUUUUUUUAUAAUUAAGUUGAAGAUCGAAUUUUGGAGACAUAUAUACACAAUCUAUCUUUGAGGCCAUCACGUAUGAUUGUCAGAAGAUGCGGGAUUUUUGCACGUGUCCCGUAUGCUCGGGGGUGUAAAUUGGACCCCAUACUUAUCAAUGUGUUGGUGGAAGGAUAGGGACCCGAGACACGCACAUGUCAUCUUCCAUGCGGUGAGUGUACAAUCACACUCGAGGACGUUCAAUUACAACUCAGUUUAUCGGUAGAUGGGCCAGUCGUUACGAGAUCAGUUGUCGUUGGCGAUUGGAGCAGCAUUUGCUAGCAACUAUUAGGCAAGGUGCCGAACAAGUUUUUUAGUAGCUGGAUAAAGAUGAAAUGGUUGCAAGAAGAUUUCCAAAAUCUCCACGAGAGUUCAAGUCCCCUUGAAAGAGAACAAUACGCCUUAGCACACAUCCUGAGGUUAAUUGGAGUUGUUCUAAUGCCCGGUAGAUCUCAAACUGUAACAUCCUCAAAACCCCCUUGGUCGUAAAUAAUAUAAGAUAAAUUUUUAGUGAAAUAAGGUAUAAGAUCAAAGAAAAUGAAAGUUGGAAGAUAUCAAAAGAGAGUUAAAUCAAGAAUCAUGACAUAAUGUAUAAUUGAUUUCUCGAUAAAAUGAGAAAAUGAUAUGAAGAUGAUAAAAGAGAAAAUUGAAGAGUAUUAAAAAAUAAUAAUAAUUAAGAAGUAGGUUUUAGUAUAUUGAUUUAAAGUAAGGACUACAUUGUAAAUAUGUGAAAAGUUUUUGGCUCAAGUGUAAAUAUUCAAAAUUUAGGGGAUCAAAGUGUAAAAAAAUAAGAAAGUUGAAGGAUCAAAAGUGAAAAUAAUUCAAUUUACUAUGAUAUGGAAUUGACAUGUAGGGACCAAAUUGAAUAGGUGAAGAAUUAUGAGGGACUAAAUUGUAAUUUUACCAAAUUAAGUGAUGAUUCAAGGAUGAAAUUUUAAAAGAUCAUAAAGGGAAAAAUGGUCAAUUAGAAAAAGAGAGAACUCUAGAAGGGAAUGAUGAUGUUGGAGAUAUUUUGAUGAUAUUUUAUAAUUAUUUAAUUAGAUAAAUAGUAAUUUAUUAAUAUUUUAAUGAGAUAUUUUAAUAAUAUUUUAUUUAAAAUAGCUAGUAUAAAAGGAGAGAAAGAUGAAAAAAAAGAAAGAAAGGAAGAGGAUCCUCCAUCUUUCCAACGUGAGUGAGGGGGAGAGAAGAAGAAAACUUUGUUGUCUUUAUAAUUUGGUCCUUCCACAAAAAAUCCACCAUUUUCACCUAUAAUUUCAAGGAAUUUUCAUAAUCACCAAGAGAGAAAAGUGAUAAGGAGAUUAUGAAGAACAAGAAAAUCACCUUGGAUUCAAGAAAAUAGAAGUUGGAGGAGAGAGAAAAUCAAGUUAAAGUUUGAAAUCAGUAGGACAAGGUAAGAACAUCAAUAUUUCAAUAUAUUUUUAAGUUUGAUAUUAUUAAAAAAAAGCAUAAAAUUAAUGUUAAAGUAGAGUUUUCUUAUAUAAGGUUUUAUGUUCUUAAUAUGUUAGUGAAGAGAAAUAAGAGGAAAUGAUGUGAAAUAUUGUAGAGAAAGGAAAGGAGGGUGUUAUAAACUUGGUUAUUAACAUUUUGCACUAAAACAGUUUUGGACAACAGUAGUAGUCUAACUUUAAAAAUUUACCAAAAAUUGUAGAAAUUGAAUUAGAGGUUAAUUAAAGUAUGAAAUUAAAUCAUAUUGAGUCUAGUUUUACAUAGAAAAAAAAUGGUGUAAGCAAAAUAAUUUCAUAUUAUGAGAUAUAUGAAUUUUUGUGAGACAAGGUCAGAUUGAUUUUGGGUUCUCCUGUUCUAACUUUGAAAAAUCAUCAAAAAUUGUAAAAAAAGAUUAGGGGUUUAAAUUUAUAUUUUUAAAUUUUUAAUGAGUCUAUUUUCAAGAGAAACAAAUUGAAACAUCAUCCAAACCCUGUACUAAGAGAUAAUUAAUUUUUAGUAAAGAGAAAGUCGAAGCUGUCAAACAGCAGAAUAAGGACAAAUUUGAAGAAUUUACAAUACUUAUUGGCUAAGUCAUAAAUUUUAAAAUUUUUAUGGUAAAAAGAUAUUUGAGUCUAGUUUCAAAAAAAUCAAGCGGAUCUUAAUUUAGAAUUCUUUAGCUCAAGAUAUAAAUAAUUUAGUGACUAUGACUCAAGUGGACAACUUUGAUAUGAACACAUAAGUAAAUAGUGGAAUUAUAGAUAAUGUUUCAUAUAAGCAUGUUAUAUACUAAAAGCUAAAGAUUCUAACAAAUAUAUACAUAAAGGAUGUGGAAUGGAAAGGAGGAGGAGGAAAACAAUAUAUGAAUAUAUAUAUAUAGUAGAUGAAUUUGAAAUAUUUCAAAAUGGUUGUAGGUGAUGGAAUGAUUGAUACAUAUAAGUAUGUUUAAACAAAUUGAUAACAUAAUAAGUGAAUAAUUGUUAAUUGAUGUGAAUUCUUUGUUAAAAUUUUAUGAAGAAUUAAAUUGAUUGGCACAAUUUAGAAAUAAAUAUGAAAUAUACAUAAAAUAGGUAAACUAAUUUUGCAAGUGCAAGUCCUUCAAUGGUCUUAUUUAUAAAAUUUUAAUAUUUGUGUUAAUUUUAUAAACUUUGUUAUCUUUAAUUGAAUAUCAUGUUUUAAUGAGCUCCUUUAACUCAUAAUUAGUUCUAUUGUAAAUUCAAUUAUUACUAAAAUGAGUUAAUGAUCUACAUUAAUUAAAUAAUAUGAUAAAUUGAUCUGAAAUUUCCAAUAGUUGCUUCUACAACGAAUGUGACAUCUUGAUGCCUUAACUCGACGAUCAGGUUGAGCAUGGGGGUGUUGCACAAACUUGUACACUUAAGGUGGUUGCUACAACUUAUCGACUUGAAAGAAGCAAGUCGACUUAGUUAGGGUUAGCCAUGUUGGUGAUGUAUCGAAAGAUGUAUCGGGUGACGCGACCAUGAAAAAUUAAAAUUGGUGGUUGCGUACUCCUUCUGCAAUCAUGGGCAUGGUCCCGGCUACCAUUUUUAUGUUCCUAACCCAACUACCCUUAUACUUUCUCACUCGUAACAAGGUAAAAUCAAUUCUAUCAUAUAGUCAUCAUAAUAUUAUUUAAUUAGGCUGAUUUUUGAAAAAAAAAACAUUAUUUGAAUAGAUGGAACCAUAGCUCGAGUUAUGUGGGACUACUGGUGUAAUACUCGGAUAUCUUUAUUGACUCGAAAUUUAAGGAAAGUUAGGACUAAAUUGAAAGAAUUAGCAAAUUGUCUGACUUCACCGGGGAAUUCAAAAAUUUUAGUGGCCAAAUUUCAAUCAGUUGGAUUUCAAACCUAGUUCGAUUAGGAUGGAACUGACUAGUUCCAAAGUAGGAGACAAAACAAUUAAGGAUGAAUAGUAGAGAUGGCCGAUGAAAAUCGUGUUAAAGGUGUAUAUAUAUAGGAGUGUGUGGAGAUAGAAUUUUCUCAAUUCUGUUUACCAAAACGCUCGUCUCUCCUUCCGACCAGUCAGAGUAUGGGCUAAAAUGGCGUGAAUGUAACGCAGAGCUAGGGGUAGGCAGCGAGCCUUGGACUGGUUUGGGUUGUAUGAAGUGGCAAACUCAGAAAUGUCAGACCAAUAGAGAGGGGUUGGUCGAUGGAUGUGCCGUAGGAGGGUGGAGAACUCGAGCGUAGCCAAGAAGUCAUCAGAAUAUAUGCCGAGAGCGACUCUUAAUCCCGCAAUUCUCAAAUACCGAGUGACGCUCCCAAGACGAAAUGAGAUUUCUCGAGGUCCAUCCCCAGACAAUAGCACGGUCUGUAGGAAAAAUGUAGAGCAAAACUCUAAAGUAAGCUCAACAUACAUCAGCUCCACGAUCGCAAAAAACCGUUCCCACAAUGUCGUGUCCAAUAAAGUAUGAACCUAUGAUGAUAGACCCAUUGUUUGAAGGGUUGUUGAGUCAAUACACCGAUCCAAACCCAAUGAUCUGUCUUUCAGAUAUUGGUACUUCUCUUCAUGAGGUGGAUGAUUGAAUGUGAAUUAUCUGUGUCGAGUGGUUGUAGUUUGAGAGGACAAAGAUGAGGUCCCAGUAACAUUUUUUUUCUUGGACUGAACGAGUAUUUUACUCUUGUCUCGUGUGUUCGACAUUAUGUACCUGAAAGACAGAUGACAACUAGAUAUAUGAGCACCAAUACAAAUUAAUAUAACAAAUGAACAUUGCAAAAUAUGAAACACAAUAGAUCAAGUUCAAUUUACCGCAUAAUGAAAACUGACUCACUAACUAAGAUUUAAAUAAUUCAAAAAAAAAAUAACAAAACAAAAUCUAAUACUAUUGUAAUAACCAACUUAGCAGAAUAAAAAUAGAAAUAACAAUAUGAAUAAUAAUAUAAUAAAACAAAUAUCAUAAUAAAAAAAUAUGAUAAUAAAAAUAAAUAAAACAAAAAAGAAAAUGAUGAGGACAAAUAGCAGUAGGGGUAUACGAAAAUGGUGGCCGGGGAAGUAGAGAGGAUGUGGAUGGUUAUGGGUGAAGAUGGGUGGUUGGGCCGACGAAGAGAAGAUAAAGGAAAUUGAGGGAAAAAGAAUAGUGAUGAGCGUGGAGAGAUGGCGAGGGGAAAGUGUUGGUUUGUGAAUGAAGGAGAGAUAGAGUGAGGACGACGGCGGCGUGUGUGUAUGUGAUGGAGGAGAUGGUAGUUGGCAAAGAGGGGCGGUGGUGUGACAAGGCUUUCAACGUUUGAAAGAAGAUGAUAAGAGGUGUCCGGCGUCGUGGGGAGUAGAUGGCCUAGAAUGAGAAAACGAUUGUAGGGUUUAGGGUAGAAAGGAACAAAAAAUAAAAUAAAAUCCUUAGCUUUAAAGAGGAUACACGGCCAUGUGCCAGGCCAAAUGGGUUAUACAGCCGUGUGGUCAGGCCAUUUAUCCCUCUGUGACUGUGUGUCCCAUAAAAAAUUUUCAAGCUUUAAUCCAAUUUUCACACGGCCUAUGACACGAUUGUAGGGUUUGCUGCUCUACUUUACAGAGCCAGGCGCAUAAAAAAUGUGAAGAGCCUGUGUCGAAUCUGAACCCGUAAAAACAACAGAGACUAUAGAACUGAACCGUGCCCUCUUCUUCCCACCUACAAUAGUCAUGGGAUGAUCCUUAAGAGACUUGGAAAAGUCAACCAUGACGGUAGAUCUAUCAUCCACGUUGGAGCUAUCAUUUAGAUCCCCGUAUGGCUAUUCCCAUCCAAAUUGAAGCUCAAAUUAGUACUGACUAAUUGCACAAAAGUCGAAGUAGACGGUUGUGACAUAGUAGCAUUGGUUGGACUCGACAAUCCCCCAGAUCACGGUACCCGCUCCACAGGCACAUUACGAAGCCAAACACUACACUGCGCCUAAAGUCGGUGUGGCAUUGCCCUUAAGGACAUGUCCCAUCCCAUUGAAACCUUUUUCGUGGCAAGGGUCAACUGAAUGGGGCAAAAGUUCUCACCAAGACCUAGUUUUCCACAGAGGAAGCAAAAAAAGUCAGUUAUUUGUACUGAAAAUAGGCAUAGAAAAAGUGGUGGGGAGACAAAGCAAGACGCUUCUUUUGCUCCAACGGAAUCCGGACAUCCACAAAAACCCGUAUUCGUAAGCACUGCUGCAAACCAAAACCAAGAGCAGUGGAAUAGUAGUCCAGAAAUAUUCCAAGAAAAUUCCCAAUUUGCCUGGCCAAAUGGUCAUUCUAGAACCCAAAAGGAAGGUCGUGAACUUGAACCCAAAAAUCAACAUAACACAGCAAGACUUGAAGAAGGUCCUCCCUCGUCACCAAUCGAUGAAACACCAGUAAGUGGUUGUUAAAGGUCUAAGGGUUGCCCUGAAUAACCCUUCUGCAUAAAACCAAAAGAGGAAACACUUCUCCCCCAAAUUAGAAAUAGAAAUACCCCCAAUUGGGUGCCACAAAUUCACCAUGGUGGAUCGUAUUUCCUUAAAACAGACAACACUAGCCAUUAGAAACAACCCAUCAAAUUGAAAUCAAACUCGGCCUCAUGUUUCGAAGCACCAGGAGGAACCGACCACACGUCAUUCUCAUCAUUAUGAAGAGUGAGACCCGCAAUCUAAUCUUCCAUAAACAAAUUAAUGAGCCAAGAAUAGAAACAAACCGCAGCAAAACCACAAAAAACACAGACUUCAAAUAGAGAAACCCAACAACACGUGCCAAGAGGCAGAUAGAAAAAACUAAAAACCUCUUGUUCUUAUAACAUUAUAAAAGUAACGAGGAAUAAAGUCAUAAAAUAAAAGAAUGAAGUUUUAAUGAAAUACAAUAAUAUGAAAAAAGAAAUUAAGGAUUAUGUUAGAAAAUAAAAAAGAUGGAGCAACUUUAAUUAAAAGUCUAAAGCACUGAGGGGUUUAUAUUGCAAUAUCCCCCUCCUCAUUCGUUUUGAAAAGAAAAUAGGCAAAUUUUCUUCUUUUUCUUUUCAUAUUCAUUUAGACAGGUUCCUCUUCCAAAUUUUAUUUAUUUAUUUUUUCAUUUAUAGGUCCCUUUCAUAUGCUUCCUUCUUCUUUAUUGAUAUAUUUUUCUCUUUUUUUAUUUUAAUUAUAUUUUUCAUUUUUUCUUUCAUUUUAUUUUUCCAAUUUGGUGUUCUAAUCAAUUUUUAACCCAACCAAACUUCGACCUAGAAAUUAAAUUGUAUCAUUUCAGAUUUUAGUGCCCGAAAAUUAAAAAGUCAUUAGAGAAAAUUCUUAAAUUUAUUUCUUUUGCCUGAUCUAGUUUUACUUUAUUAUAUAUUUUUUAAAUAUGAGGUUUUGGGUUUGUGUAUCUUUUAUUUUAUUUUUAGGGUAAUGUAAACCAACAACCACUCAAUUUUGAUUAAAAUAACAAAACAUUCACUAACGUUGUCGAAAAGUGAUAAAUCAAUUAUCCACUAACAUUUUCUGUUAUAGGCCUAACGGGACAAGUCACAUGACCCGUUAACUAGCAUGUUAGACAUGACUAGCUAGAAGAAGAAGAGAAAAAGAAGAAAGGAAGAUCACAAUGGGUAUCUUAGAACUCAUUCUAUUAACCUCUACAAAUCGGUCAUGUUCACUUCCCGCUUCAAUCGUCUCAUCCCUGUUAACUUCGCUUCCCGCUUCAACCUCUUUCAACUCCUUUUUUUUUUCAAAAAACUUCAAAAACUUUGAAUUUGUUCUUCUCUUAACCACACCAUCAUCAACCUCUCCCAACACUAAUCACCACCACUAUCUAGUUAACCAACCGCCAUACAUCACCACCACUGUCAAAUCCAAACCCCCUCACAACCACUCAAUUUACCAUUGCCACCAUAAACACAUCCUCACCACACCCUUAGCAACCAAAAAAUUCACCCCAACAACAACACAAAAAAUACAAAAUGAAAAAAAAACUCCAGAGGAAAACCAAGUGGAAGCCUGCAACGGAGAAAAAUGAAACAAAAUCAAAGAAAGAAGAAACAAAAUAUAAAUAAAUAAAAGAAAUAAGAGGAACAUUAAGGUUAGUUUUAAGGUCUUGGGUCGUCAUAUCAAAAAUCUAAAUGGUAGGAAUGUAGAAGAGAUCGCAAAAAACAACAUACCUUGGAAUCAGACUAAUUCGAUGGUUGGAUUUCGAGAUCGGGCAAGGAGAAGUUCAAACGUUCAAGCAUAGAUUCGAGUAGUUUGGGGAAAUUUUUGGAGAAUCAGACUCUGGAUUCAUGUUCAAAGUGUCAAAAAGAGACUAGAUAAGAGUUUGGAGUUUUCCGACCACCACUGGCAAGCCGGCGCGACAGUCCGACGUCGAUUUUUGGGUUUUUUUUAUUGUUGUGUCUGGGUUGCUUCAGAAUGGAAAAAAAAUUGAAGGUACAAAGAAGGGAGAAGAGAACAUUAAAGAAAAAAAAGAAGAAGUUUUGUUUGUAUUUGUUUAGAAAAUUAAUAAUAACAACUAAAAAAAAAGAAAAUUUUGAUGGUGGGAUCAUGUCCAACUUGGCAGCCUAACGGACCACGUCAGCUGUCUGUUACGUUUUCGUGUGACUAAUUUGUCACUUUCAUAAAAUUUAGUGACUAAACUGUAACUUAUCAAAGUUUAAUGAAUGAUUUAUUUCGCGUAAUAUAUAUUUAUAUGAUUGGAUAAGAAAGGGCCAAAAGUCUUUCCUAUUUUAGUUAAGUUCUUUAUUUCUCUCAGCAAAACAGGACUUGAUAGUGUACCGAAUUCAUUCGCCAUGAAUAACCUCGAUCAUUGUUUGCAGGACGGUCUCAAUGUUGAUGGCCAUAAUGGUUGAUUUUGGCAACGGGUUUUCCAAGCUUGGAGAUUCCCUGGUUUCAAUUAGGCUUAGGAAUAUUUGUCGCGGGAGACUUACAAUUUUCAUUUUAAUCUUUCCUGGAAGGAUUGAAAAACAACAAUCUUCCAACAAACCUCAGAAACUGAAUCAAUACUACUCAG
Molecule: long non-coding RNA, 13168 nt
Filed under: Gossypium barbadense (sea-island cotton)
Lineage: Eukaryota; Viridiplantae; Streptophyta; Magnoliopsida; Malvales; Malvaceae
Description: long non-coding RNA (GBAR_LNC017839)
Source: RNAcentral